This is a non-coding RNA of Pogona vitticeps (central bearded dragon), 493 nucleotides long. NCBI's taxonomy places the organism in Eukaryota, Metazoa, Chordata, Lepidosauria, Squamata, Agamidae. The record is from RefSeq and is a predicted model, not a curated record.
AUGGCAGGUGCACCACCCAGAACUACCCAGCUUGCAACCAGAGAAGCAUCUUUAAAUAGAAGGCUUCUGCGUCCUUCUCCUGCAUCCAUUCUUCAGCCUCCAUCCAUCCACCAGGGACGUUGAGAUCACAGCCCGCUGUCCAUCAUGAAGGCCUUCCUCUUGCUCUUUGCUGUUGCUGUCUUGGUUUUCCAGAUGAAGGCUGAGCCAAAUCCAGAGCCAGCACCAGGACCUCAAGAACCUCAAGAUGCUGUCCGUCCGAGAAGUGUCAUUCAGUGUCGUUCGGUGGGAGGGAUUUGCCGUCCAUCCAAGUGCCUAGCCACUGAGCAAAACACUGGGGCCUGUGUGACAGGUGUCGCGUGUUGCCUUCCUUUUGCAUGAAGAACCCACCCAGCGGAGACUCAGAAAAGCCUGAAAUCCGGGGACUGACAGUCAAUUGUUUCACACUUGGUCCUCUUUCUCCACUUUCAUUAAAACUGAUGUUACCUCUCUUUCA